Molecule: ribosomal RNA, 393 nt
Filed under: uncultured bacterium
Lineage: Bacteria
Description: partial 16S ribosomal RNA
Rfam family: Bacterial small subunit ribosomal RNA
Source: RNAcentral
AUACGGAGGACGCGAGCGUUAUCCGGAUUCAUUGGGUUUAAAGGGUGCGUAGGCGGUUUGCUAAGCGGGAGGUGAAAUGCCGGCGCUCAACGUCGGAAGUGCCUCCCGAACUGGUGGACUGGAAUGACUCUGCCGUGGGAGGAAUGUGUAGUGUAGCGGUGAAAUGCUUAGAGAUUACACAGAACACCGAUUGCGAAGGCAUCUCACGAAGGGUUGAUUGAUGCUGAGGCACGAAAGCGUGGGGAUCAAACAGGAUUAGAUACCCUGGUAGUCCACGCAGUAAACGAUGAUGGCUAACCGCUGGUUUUUUCGGAUCAGUGGCCAAGCGAAAGCGAUAAGCCAUCCACCUGGGGAGUACGACCGCAAGGUUGAAACUCAAAUGAAUUGACGGGG